RNAcentral lists this ribosomal RNA (301 nucleotides) under uncultured bacterium. RNAcentral's name for it is "partial 16S ribosomal RNA". It matches the Rfam family "Bacterial small subunit ribosomal RNA", at positions 509 to 807 of the family's 1533-position model. The record is from RNAcentral.
CAGUAGCCGCGGUAGUACGAAGGGGGCUAGCGUUGUUCGGAAUCACUGGGCGUAAAGCGCACGUAGGCGGACACUUAAGUCAGAGGUGAAAUCCCAAGGCUCAACCUUGGAACUGCCUUUGUUACUGGGUGUCUUGAGUUCGGGAGAGGUGAGUGGAACUGCGAGUGUAGAGGUGAAAUUCGUAGAUAUUCGCAAGAACACCAGUGGCGAAGGCGGCUCACUGGCCCGAUACUGACGCUGAGGUGCGAAAGCGUGGGGAGCAAACAGGAUUAGAUACCCCUGUAGUCCCUGUCUCUUAUAC